GACGAACGCUGGCGGCGUGCCUAAUACAUGCAAGUAAAACGCACAGUUUAUACCGUAGCUUGCUACACCAUAGACUGUGAGUUGCGAACGGGUGAGUAACGCGUAGGUAACCUGCCUGGUAGCGGGGGAUAACUAUUGGAAACGAUAGCUAAUACCGCAUAAUAUUAAUUAUUGCAUGAUAAUUAAUUGAAAGGUGCAAUUGCACCACUACCAGAUGGACCUGCGUUGUAUUAGCUAGUAGGUGAGGUAACGGCUCACCUAGGCGACGAUACAUAGCCGACCUGAGAGGGUGAUCGGCCACACUGGGACUGAGACACGGCCCAGACUCCUACGGGAGGCAGCAGUAGGGAAUCUUCGGCAAUGGACGAAAGUCUGACCGAGCAACGCCGCGGGAGGGAAGAAGGUUUUCGGAUCGUAAAGCUCUGUUGUAAGAGAAGAACGGGUGUGAGAGUGGAAAGUUCACACUGUGACGGUAUCUUACCAGAAAGGGACGGCUAACUACGUG
Molecule: ribosomal RNA, 505 nt
Filed under: uncultured bacterium
Lineage: Bacteria
Description: partial 16S ribosomal RNA
Rfam family: Bacterial small subunit ribosomal RNA
Source: RNAcentral